Aethalodelphis obliquidens (Pacific white-sided dolphin) is the source of this 1624-nucleotide long non-coding RNA. RefSeq lists it as uncharacterized. The transcript is spliced from 3 exons. The record is from RefSeq and is a predicted model, not a curated record. Lineage: Eukaryota; Metazoa; Chordata; Mammalia; Artiodactyla; Delphinidae.
GCGGCAUGUGGGAUCUUCCCGGACCGGGGCACGAACCCGUGUCCCCUGCAUCGGCAGGCGGACUCUCAACCACUGCGCCACCAGGGAAGCCGCAAGUAGUUCUUUUAAAGCCCCAUUUGGUACCAUAUCAUCUGACCUGGCAGGGGGAGCGUUGGAAUUUUUAUUGUUGUUGUUUACUUUGUUUUAUAAUCUGAGUCCAUGUAAAACCAUCUCCUAUGGCUUUCCAGGAGUUAGCUGCUGUGAAACUGUCACACUGUACAUACCAUACUGCAGCUAUGAUACACUAAGUGUUGCUGCUCUGAGUGGAAAAUGGAGUCCUUCAACCAGUAGCAAUGGCAUCACCUGAAAACCUGUUAGAAAAGCAGAAUCCAGGGCUCCACCCAGACCUACAGAAUUAGAAUCUAUAUCGUUUAAUAAGUUCCCCAGGUGCUCCAAAUGCACAUUAAAUUUUGAAUAAUCACUGCUCCAAAGGGCUUCUGAUUCUUUAUAAUAAGAGGAACAACAUUUAAAUAAAUAGGAAAUAGAUAAAGGGUGAACAAUUUGUGAUUUCUCAAGCAUAUGAUGAAGGUGGCUUAAUGGAUUGAGGUAGACUCCACAUUCUCACUUUAAGCUACUAGGAUAUACUGUACUGUCACUAGGAAGAGGAGGAGGCUGCAAAUAUGGAAAGGUUUGAAAAGAUUGGAAACAUUUAGAGUUCCAAGGCAGAGGUGUAUAAAGGUUAUCAUUUUAAGUGGCAAAGAGCACUAGACUCCACUCCCAGUAAAGAAACUGAGUAACUCUCAGUUAACUUCUCGUGGCCUUAGGGUCCUCAUUUGUAAAAACAACCACAAACAAAACCCAGGAAGGCUUAGAGACCAUUUCUCCCAGCUCUAAGAUGUCUUUAUUCAAUUUCCUUUCUUUUGGUAGAAACUGCCUUUUUCUUCAGUACUAUAAAAAAUGUUAAUAUCCCUAGAAGCAGUUAUUAACAGGGUAGGAACUUUAAUUAAUACAAACUGAUUUCUUCCCGGAGGAGAAACCUAGGCCCUGUAAGAAGAGGCAGUAAUGAAACAGGAAAAGAAAGGGAAGGGAGAAAAUAAACACACAUAUACACAGGUAUACUUGUUCUGCAUUAUUUGAUACAUUGUGGACUAUUUUGGCAACAGCCUGUUAAAAGUAUUUCCCCUUUUUUCUUCUUUUUAACCCACUCUUGCCUGCCUCCUAUAACCUUGAGACCCCAUCCCUUCUUUUUUUUUAAUACCAAGUAAAGGAAGAAUGACAGCCAUCAGAUACCAAAUUCACCUACUCGUCAGUUUUGCCCCAUGCCUGGGAGAACAGCAGUAGUGUUGAGCCCCCUUGCAGCCUUGGGAGUGAAGGGACCGCUGUUGUUCCUCAAAAUCAUCUGCACCUGGAUUGGAAUACUUCCACAAACCCGAUUAGGUCCUUCGUGGGGUCACACUUUUCGAAGAAAAGCCGCCGAACCUUACCUACUCAGUUUACUGGGACGCUCCGGGAGGACCUCGAGACACGAGUCCCCAGACAGGUGAAAAGCAGCCAGAAUGGAAGUCCUCAAACACCCCACACUCAAGCCAUCUGGACUGAAUUACUUGCAGUUUUUCACAGGUGCCAAACUUCCUCCUGCAUUACC